Molecule: ribosomal RNA, 460 nt
Filed under: uncultured bacterium
Lineage: Bacteria
Description: partial 16S ribosomal RNA
Rfam family: Bacterial small subunit ribosomal RNA
Source: RNAcentral
CCUACGGGAGGCAGCAGUGAGGAAUAUUGGUCAAUGGGCUUACGCCUGAACCAGCCAAGUCGCGUGAGGGAAGACUGCCCUAUGGGUUGUAAACCUCUUUUGUCAGGGAGCAACGCCGGCUACGUGUAGCCGGACUGAGAGUACCUGAAGAAAAAGCAUCGGCUAACUCCGUGCCAGCAGCCGCGGUAAUACGGAGGAUGCGAGCGUUAUCCGGAUUUAUUGGGUUUAAAGGGUGCGUAGGCGGAAUGCCAAGUCAGCGGUAAAAUCGCGGGGCUCAACCUCGCUCCGCCGUUGAAACUGGCGGUCUUGAGUGGGCGAGAAGUAUGUGGAAUGCGUGGUGUAGCGGUGAAAUGCAUAGAUAUCACGCAGAACUCCGAUUGCGAAGGCAGCAUACCGGCGCCCAACUGACGCUGAAGCACGAAAGCGUGGGUAUCGAACAGGAUUAGAUACCCCAGUAGUC